AGUGAGGCCUUUGGGUCCACCUCCCACCCGUGUUUAUUUUACCUUGUUGCUUCGGCGGGCCCGCCUUUACUGGCCGCCGGGGGGCUCACGCCCCCGGGCCCGCGCCCGCCGAAGACACCCCCGAACUCUGUCUGAAGAUUGAAGUCUGAGUGAAAAUAUAAAUUAUUUAAAACUUUCAACAACGGAUCUCUUGGUUCCGGCAUCGAUGAAGAACGCAGCGAAAUGCGAUACGUAAUGUGAAUUGCAAAUUCAGUGAAUCAUCGAGUCUUUGAACGCACAUUGCGCCCCCUGGUAUUCCGGGGGGCAUGCCUGUCCGAGCGUCAUUGCUGCCCUCAAGCCCGGCUUGUGUGUUGGGCCCCGUCCUCCGAUUCCGGGGGACGGGCCCGAAAGGCAGCGGCGGCACCGCGUCCGGUCCUCGAGCGUAUGGGGCUUUGUCACCCGCUCUGUAGGCCCGGCCGGCGCUUGCCGAUCAACCCAAAUUUUUAUCCAGGUUGACCUCGGAUCAGGUAGGGAUACCCGCUGAACUUAAGCAUAUCAAAAGCGAG
This 545-nucleotide ribosomal RNA is filed under the name Penicillium polonicum. RNAcentral's name for it is "eukaryotic LSU rRNA". The stretch from base 171 to 323 matches the Rfam family "5.8S ribosomal RNA". Lineage: Eukaryota; Fungi; Ascomycota; Eurotiomycetes; Eurotiales; Aspergillaceae. The record is from RNAcentral.